CAAAAUAUACCAAAAUACCUCUAGCCUAUACAUGCCAUAUACCAUAUAUACAACUCUCAAAAUGGUACCAAAAUAGAUGUCUGAUAGUGUGAGUGAGUCGUUGACGAUCCCUGGAAUCGAGCUAGCUUUAUAACACUGUAAAACAGAUAACAUUUCACACAGUAAGCUUUAAUGCUUAGUAAGUUCGUACCAUAAAUAAUCAAAAGUUAAUAUAGUACGAAACAACAAAUAAUAAACACCUAGCAGUUCACAAUUCAUACAUCAAUUCUAUUCCAUCUCAUUUAAUAUAUUCAUCAUACUUCGUACACAUAGUAUCAUCUACCACAUAGGUAUCGAACAUACCUGAACUUUUUCGUAUUUAAUCAUUUCAUUCUCACCUCUCGUUCAAAUACAUUAAUUCAAUCGAAAGUCUUUCUAUGCUUUAAGAAUUUGCACACUUAGUGCAUUAAUGAUUAGCCGAAGCUAUAAAGAUCUUACACACUUAGUGCCAUCUCAACUAACUGAAGUUAUCUCGGUAUCGCACACUUAGUGCCUCAUAUAGCCAAAGCUAUUCCAACUCGCACAGUUCGUGCUAUUUAUAACCGAAGCUGUUUGAAUCGUACAUUUAGUGCGGUACAUGGUCGAUUUCUCAUUGUAUUCAAACCAAGCUUAAAUAUAUACAAUUUAUAUAUUAUCAAAACAUUAAAAAACAAAUUGUAACAUCAUUUAUCACGUACGAACUUAUCUUGUACUCGGAAUUGACGAUUUGGAUCGUUUACUCGAUAACAUUCGAUUUCCCUCGAUCUAAAUCUGAAUUCUUCCUUUCUUGACCUAUAUGUAUUCAAAAUUAACCCAUUUUAUCCAACAAAUCAUUCAAUUCAAUCCAUAUACACAUAUUUAGGGCAUUUUACAAAUUAGCCCUCAUAUUUUCACAUUUUAACACUUUAGUCCCAAUUUCACAAAAUCACAAAAUACACAUAAUUUCUUUACACACAAGCCUAGCCAAAUCUUUAUAAUGUUCAUGUAAACCCACAUAUUUCAUUUAUUUCACAUUUUAUUCCCCCAAUUUACAAAUUUCACAAUUUAAUCCCUAAUAUGUAUUUUUACUUAAAAUCACUUUACAAAACAUGCAUAUCAAGCACUAAGCUUUCCUAUUUCAUCAUUUAACAUCACAAAAAUCAUGAAUUCAUCAAUGGAAUCUCAUCAAAUUAUCAACAGUUUCAUGAAUUUAAGCAUGGGCUAGCUAGAACACCUAAAAUGAUCACAAAAACAUAAAAAUCAUCAAAAACCGAGCUCGAAUGCUUACCUAAUUGAGCUUAAAUAUAUCCAAACCCUAGUUGAGCUUCAACCUUUCUUUUUCUUUUGUAUUUUUGGCAACAAGAUGAUAAUAUAACACCAAAUUUAUGUUUUUGUUUUAUAUAAAUUAACAUUAAUAUCAAUUUUCCAAUUUUACCCUUUAAUAAACCAUUUAAAAGUCAUUAACAUAUAAGGCCAUUAUUGUCCACUUACUAUAACCAUGGUCUAAUAACAUAAUAAGGACCUCUCAAUUAAAAAGACAUAGCAAAUAGGCACUUCAACAAAUAGAAAGCCACUUUUACAUUUUCUGCGAUUAAGUCCUUUUUGCAAACUAAGCACACAAUUGAUAAAAUUUUCAUACGAAACUUGCACACAUGCUAAUUCACAUUUUAUAAGCACGAAAAAUAAUAUUAAAAUAUUUUUUUGACUCGGAUUUGAGGUCCCAAAACCACUAUUCCAACUAGGGUCUAAAUCGGGCUGUCACAACUCUCCCCUCUUAAAGAUUUUUGUCCCCGAAAAUCUUACCAGUGAAUAGGUUUGGAUAUUGUUUUCUCAUAGUAUCCUCGGGCUCCCACGUGGCUUCUUCAACCCCGUGCCGAUGCCACAACACUUUCACUAAUGUAAUUUUCUUAUUUCUCAACUAUUUGAUCUCACGAGCUAAAAUAUGUAUCGGUUCUUCAUCAUAAGACAUAUCAGAAUGUAUUUCAACCUCAGUCGGAGAAAUGACAUAUGAAGGAGCUGAUCUGUAUCUUCGUAGCACUGAUACAUGAAAUACAUUAUGUAUCUUUUCUAACUCAGACGAUAAUGCUCGCCGAUAAUCUACUGGUCUAAUUCGCUUGAUAAUAUCAUACGACCCAAUAAACCUCGGACUGAAUUUGCCUUUUUUGCCGAAAUGCAGUACUUUCUUCCAUGGGGAUACUUUUAGAAACACUUUGUCUCCGAUCUGAAACUCAAUAUCUUUUCUUUUUAAAUCUGCAUAAGAUUUUUUACAAUCCGAAGCUACUUUCAAACUAUCAUGUAUUAUUUUUACUUUAUGUUCAGUCUCUUUGAUCAAAUCGACCCUGUGCAUCUUUUUCACACUGAGCUCAGUCCAAUACAAAGGUGUUCGACAUUUGCCACCAUACAAAGCCUCGUAAUGAGUCAUUUUGAUACUCGAUUGAAAGCUAUUAUUAUAUGCAAAUUCAAUCAGUGGUAGAUAUCGUUCCCACGUACUUCAAACUCAAUAAUAUAACAUCUCAAUAUAUCCUCGAGUAUUUGAAUAAUCCGUUAAGAUUGACCAUCCGUCUACGGGUGAAAAGCAAUGCUAAAGUGUAGUUUCGUACCUAACGCAUCUUGCAGUUUCUUCCAAAAGCGUGAUGUGAACUUCAGAUCGCUAUCUGAAACACUAGAAAUAGGUAUUCCGUGCAAUCUCACAAUCUGAUAAAUGUAUAACUCAGCAAGCUUAUCAACUGAAUAAUCUGUACGAACCGGAAUGAAAUAAGCCGAUUUAGUCAAUCUAUCAACAAUAACCUAGAUUGCAUCUUUCUUACUCGGUGACAGAGGUAAACCUGAUACAAAAUCCAUUGUGAUUUUGUCCCAUUUCCACUCCGGAAUCAUAAUCGGUUGAAGUAACCUAGAUGGAACCUGAUGCUCAACUUUAACUUGCUGACAAACUAAACAUUUCGAAACAAAUUUCAUAAUAUCUCGUUUCAUACCAUGCCACCAAUAAAGUUGUUUCAGAUCAUUAUACAUUUUAGUACUACCUAGAUGAACAGAUAACUAUCUGCUAUGAGCUUCAUUCAAAAUCGUCUCAAUCAACCCUGGAUUUCUCGGAACACAUACUCGGCCUUUGAAUCUCAAACAACUCUCAGCAUCAACUUGGAAUUCUGAAUCAGUACUCAAAUCACAUUGAACCCAUUUUUCUAAGAAUUCGUUAUCAACUUUUUGAGCUUUGAAAAUCUGCUAAAUAAAUAACUGUCUCGCUUUUAACUCAGCUAAAACCAAACCAUCAUCAGACAAAGUUCACUGAGUAUUCAUCGAAUGCAAUGCAAACAUUGAUUUUCAACUUAGAGCAUCAGCAACAACAUUGGCCUUUCCCGGAUGGUAGUCAAUUACAAGCUCGUAGUCUUUUAACAACUCUAACCAUCUUCACUGUCGUAGAUUUAGAUCUUUCUGAGUCAUCCUUUUGUGAUCAAAAUAAACAUGACAUUUCUCACCAAACAAAUAGUGGCACCAAAUAUUCAACGCAAAUACUAUAGCUGCCAAUUCCAGAUCGUGUGUCGGAUAGUUCCUUUCAUGCGACUUUAACUAUCGCGAGGCAUAAGCUAUGACUUUGACUUCCUGCAUCAAAACACAUCCCAAACUGUUCAGAGAUGCAUCACUAUAGAUCACAAAUUCUUUACCCAAUUCUGGCUAAAUUAACACUAAGGCUUCAGUCAAUAAAGCCUUCAACUGAUCAAAACUUUUCUGACACUUUUCAGACCAUUCAAAUUUCACAUUGUUUUGAAGCAGUUUCGUCAAUAUUUCUCGAAGAAUUCCAAUCCAGAAUAGCUGAAAUCUUGCUCAGAUCAACUCGGAUAUUGGAUGCUGACACAACAUGUCUCAGAAAACUGACUUCUCGUAACUAGAAUUCACAUUUGCUAAACGUCGCUUGCUUAUCUCGCAAAGUCUGUAGCACUAUUCUCAAAUGCUCAGCAUGUUCAGUUUCAUCACGCGAAUAAAUCAAAAUGCCAUCACUAAAUAUGAAAACAAAUCGAUCUAAAUACGGUCUGAACAUUUUGUUCAUCAAAUACAUAAAAAUAGCAGGUGCAUUUGUUAGUCCGAAAGGCAUAACUAAAAACUCAUAAUGUUCGUACCUCGUUCGGAAAGUAAUUUUUAGAAUGUCUGAAUCUUUUAAUCACAACUGAUAAUAACCCGAUCUCAAAUCUAUCUUUAAAAACACAGUAGCUCCUUUUAACUAAUCAAACAAAUCAUCAAUUCAAGGCAGAGGAUAUUUGUUCUUGAUAGUCAUUUUGUUCAACUGACGACAAUCAAUGCACAUUCUCAUUGUGCCGUCUUUCUUUUUCAGAAACAGAACAUGCGCACCCUAAGGUGAAAAACUCGGUCUUGUGAAUCCUCUAUCAGUUAAUUCUUGCAACUGAAAUUUUAACUCUUUUAACUUAGUCGAAGCUAUUCUAUACGGAGCUAUCAAAAUCGGAGUAGUUCCCGGUACUAACUCAAUGCCAAAUUCAACUUCUCGAAUCGGAGGUAAUCCCGAUAACUCAUCAGGAAACACAUCUGGGUAUACACAAACAACUGGCACUAAUUCAAUCUUCUUUUCAGUCACUUUCAUAUCAAGCACAUAAGCUAAAUAAGCUUCGCAACCCUUUCUCACAUAUUUCUGAGCUAACAUCACUAAAAUCAUUGCUGGCAAUCGAUUCAAAUCAUCUGAUUCAAUACGGGUAAUCUCAUUAUUCUGACAUCUCAAAUCAAUCAUCUUCUGUUGCAAUUCACAACAGCAUCAUGCAUCGUUAGCCAAUCCAUACCCAAGAUUAUGUCAAACUCGUCAAAUGGUAACAACAUCAAAUAUGUGAGUAGACCCUAAUUACACACUUGCCUAAGGGGUUCGAUACUCUAAUUACAAAUUCAAUAGACUCUACCGGCAAAGUCUUACUGGAUACUAAAUUCACACAUAUAUACGAAGGAGUAGACCCUAGAUCUAUCAAUACAAUAACUUUUAUAUCAUAGAGAGUAAAAUUACCGGAAAUAACAUCUGGAGAUGGCACUUCUUCUCGUGCUCAAAUAGCGUAAGCUCGUGCAGGUGCUGAUAAACCAUAAAAGUAGCACUUUCUAAUCCCAUACUUAGCAUACUUUUGGAUGAUUUAUUAUAUAAUUGAGUGAAUUAGAUGCUCUUAAUCCUUUAAUUUCAUGUUUUAUACUCAGAAGAGCAUAGGGGAACAAAAGGAGAAGAAAACGAGCCAAAAAAGACAAAAUAAGCUGAUUGAAGGACCCACCGGUCAAGAUGAAUUCCACACGGAUGGAGCAUACGCCCAUGUGAGCUACACGGGCUAGCCACACGCCCAUGUGGCAGCCCGUGUCGAUAUAGCUCCUAGCUUACCAAAUACGCAGAAAAAGCUAAUUUUUAAGGUUUCUGAGCAGUCUAAAGUCUAUAAAUACAUACCAGAGGAAGACCUAAAGGGGGGCACACAGAGUAGAACACAGGAAUUACUUGAAGAACGCCAACGGAUUCAGCUCGGAAGUAGAAUCUCCUUCAAGACUAAAGAUCUCCCUUCAAUUUCUCUCGAAGUUUUUUGGGUUUCUUUAUGUUUUGUUAUCUUCCUAUUUUUGAGAUGUUUUCCUACUACAACAUGAACUAAACUCCCUAAAUACCUAAAGAGGAUGAAACCUAAGAUGGAUCUUAUUGUUUAAUAUUUUGAAUUUAAUGAUAAAUACUUAUUCUUGUUCUUAAUUAUGUUCUCUUAAUUCUUGUUUUAAUAUUUUCAAGAUAUUAAUUCAAAUUGAUGUGCUUAUUAGUGGAGCAAAAGUCCCUGUUUAAGAGUAGAUCUCACAUAAUUAAGCGGAGUUGCAUGCAACCCUAGAAAUAGGGCGACAUAAAUCUGCCGGAUUAGAUUCAAAUGUAAUAAGAGAAUCCAUAAAUCGAGUUAAUGUGACAAUAGGGGUUUUAAUUAGAAAUAGAUUUCAAUUAAUCAAUCUAGAGUCAGUUGUUUUUAGUCUCAAAAGAGAUAUUAACAUAAUUUAGGGAUUUCUACGGAUCAAGACAAGUGAAUAAAUUGUUAGAUUCAGAAUCAGAAUAAUAAGUGAAGUCUAGGUGGAUUCUUCCUCGGGUAUUGUUUUUAAUAUUGGUUUAUUCGACUAUUUUAUUCACUCUCUGUCUCGUUUAGUAGUUAAUUAGUUGGUUAAUUUUAGAUUAAAACAAAUCUCUUAUAUUUUAGGUUAAAUAAUAGAAAGAAAGUUAAUACUAGUACUUUUAGUCCUUGUGGAUACGAUACUUUGGACUCACCGUGACUAUACUACCAUUCAAUAGGUACGCUUGCCUCAGUCGUGAUCGUAUUCUAGUUUAGUGGUUCCUAAAAUGAUCAUCAGGUGCUCUAGCAUCAGAUCUAGUUGUAGUGUCUCAUGUCACACCUCUACCACCACUCGUAUUUCCCUUAUUUCUCGGUGGUUUAUGUAACGCCCUAAAAAUCUCGAAAUCCAAAAAUCUCGAAAUCUUGAAUUUUUCUUUUUAUGCUUAAUAAUUCUGAUUAAGUGCUAAUUACGCAAAGGUAGGUCUUGGUCAAGGUUUGAGUUCGAAUUAAGAGGUAGAAGAAAUUAUAAGUUAAUUAUUAAAAGAAUCAAGGUUGGCAAGUAGUUGGGCUUUUAAAUAAAGAUAUGGGAAAAUAGCAGCAAAGAGCCUAAUUGAGGAGUGGCUAAGUGACGCCACUUAGAGUGUAGAGAGGUGGCGUUAAUAGCUAGCAAGGAGGUUUAAGGUUCGAAUCCUAGCUUAGUGUUUUUAGAAGAUUAAUUUUGACCUUCUAGAAGGAUGGAAGUGGAAGGAAAGUGGACUCCAAGGGAAAUGUUCAAGAGAGAAAAUUAAGGAAAGGAUCAAGGGGUUAUCAGGGAGAAAAACAAGGAGAUGAGAAGGAAGAAGUGAUGGAGCCGAAUGGGGAAUUAGGCAUGGGAAAAUUCGGCAAUAAGGCUUAUAAAUAGGUGCUAAAUGCUAAGAUAUGAAGCUAAUGACCGAAUUUCCUUCACCUUGUUACCAGAAACUCUUUUCUCUAAAACCCGAAAACCCUCUGCCUUUCUUUUCUUUUUCUCCUUCCUUGUGCCAAAUUCUAUUCUUCCUCUACCUCAUUGCUGAAUUUUCUUUCUUUUUCCUUGGUGCUAAGUAACUCUCUUUUACCAUACAAAUCGCACGGGCAGAAACCUUCUUGACCGAAUACUCUUGGUGCCGCCAGUACCCUUUCUAAUCGGUCAAGCUUAGUGUAAGUGCUUUGUUCUCAUAAUCGAGUUUUGCUAAAUAUUGAGUAUACAUUCCCUCACUUCUUCUAAUCAGUUUUGGGUAGGAAUAGGUAACGAAUCUCAGUCCUUGGAUCUCUGCCGAUUUGCUCCUCCGGUGAAAGACUUUGGCAAGUGCUCUUGAUCUUGGUUGGCCGAAUGUUCAUAGUUAAGGUAAGGAGACUUGUGUUGGAUACGAGUCAUCUAUUAUUCUGGUUUAAUAUUUAAGAUUGAUGCAGAUCUAGGAGUUGAUCGUGGUUAGUGAUUAAAAAAGGGGUUGUUAUACUUGUCGCGCAAGGUAAGGUGAAAGGUGAGGUUUCGAUUUUAGUAAAAAUAUGUAUUAAGCAUGCGAUUAAUUGUAGGAUGAUAUCGUUUUUAGGUUGGUGACUAAGGGAAUCGCAGCACGCUUACUUACCAGGUGUGUACAUACACUGCACACACAAGUAGAUCGGUAAAAGCUGAAAAGCCAAAAUACCGAAAAGUCAAAAUGCCGAAAAGUCUAAAGUUUAGCUACGGUAGUUUACGAGUGCACGAACACUCGUGAGGAGGAAACCGAUAGGUUGUCUGAGGCCCAUGGGCGAUUCCAUGGACUUGGGCUAUGAUCUGGCCAACCGGGCUAAAAUAGGCUUAAUGGGCCCGAUAGGCUGUUGGGCCCAUAAUAGGUAAAAUUUGAUAAUUGAUGCUAUGUGAUAGAAAAUUUGUGUGUGAGCAUGAGGACAAGGUGAUUGGGGCCUAACGGGCCAUAUAGAGGUGAUUUGGGCCUAAUAGGCCAUAUGAAUAUGAAUUGGGCCUGAUGGGCCAUAUGAAUGUGAAUUGGGCGUGAUGGGCCAUAUGAAUGAGAUGGGCCAAGUGGGCCAUAUUCAUGUAUGUAGGGGUUUUGGGCCUAGUAUAUGAUAACUACAUAAAACUUUAUUAAUAUAUUGCGACCGUGGACAAGUCAUAGGGUUAAGGUGUGGCAACAGGUAUAUGCAUGGCUAGGAUUGGAUCUAGGGAGAGCUUGGUACUUAAGCAGUCUUAAUAACUCACCUCCUCUUCUCUGGAAUCCUACCUGGUGCAUAGUAUUCGUUCAUCUUAGCUCACGGGAUUUGUUAACGAGCCAAGGCAAGUGAAAACCGUAAUAUAGGGAAAAUUACCGAAAUACCCCUAAGGGCAAAAAUGACCAAAAUACCCCUAGGUGUUAAAUGUAAGUUUUAUCGAUGUGACAUGCAUACAUAUGAUAUUCUGCUUAGGUUGCAUAUGGGUUGGGAACUAUGGAACGGAGGAAGUAUAUGAGGAUCGCAUGGUUGCCUGACAAUCGUGGAUCCACCGAUGGCUUUUAAAGCCCAAUAUGUAAAUGAAGGUAGUUCCACAACCGGGCUACCAUUGGUGUGUGGGCUGGGUGGGUAGAUAUUUAUAUCCCCAUAUGGUGUGACGGGGGACGGAGCUUUUGUGUAGCGGAUGGAUAAUUUGGAUGGGAUUGCAUUGCAUUUGAUGAUUUCUCUUUGAAUGCUUGUUUUUUAUCGAGGUUUGUACACACUGAGUUUACAAAAACUCACCCCCUCUUUUAUUUUAUUUUCAGGUGAUGCAUAGUAGGCGGUUCGAUGUUUGGAGGGACUCAGGGUGACCAUCUAGUAAGACAAAUUUGGACUUUUUUUUUAAGCUUAUAAGUUUUAUUUUAUUAAGUAUGUUUCAGACCAGAUUUUAAUAAGGUUUUCAUUAUGCUAUUAUUAUUUGAAGUAUUAUUAUUUCUAUCGUAAUUAUGAGAAGUUGAACAUGGGUUUCCUAAAUUAUAGUAUGUUUUCUACGUUUCCGCAACUUAAUUUCUAAAUGAUAAGUUUUCUUAAAUUAAAUUCUUAAAACAAGGCUUUCGCAACUGAAAGAUAUGUUUAUUAAGGUUUCUUUUGUUUAAGAAGGGUUUUCAAUGAAAACACAGUUUUCGCUAAAACACUUCAGUGUGACGCCGAACUCGGCCAUAACAUCCGAGCCGGGUUUGGGGUGUUGCAGUCUACUUCUAGCUGUAGUGUUACUUGGCCUCAUGUUCUGAGCAUUAUCUUUUACCUAACUCUAGGCAAUCUUUUAUAAAGUGAUCUCGUGAACCACAACUGUAACAAGCUCGGUUGUUACUUUUUCCCUAACAAUCUCCAAAAUGUCAUCUUCCACGUUGUUUACACUCAGGUUUUACAUCCUUUGCAUUACCAACACUCGAUACUGAGGUAGUUUAAGCUUUACGGUUGAUAUAUUGCUUUCCACGAUCUCUAUUCUAAUUUUCCACUAAAGCUAUCGAUCAAUCAUUAAAAUCUCUAGAUUUUUUUAAUGAGGAAUGAUAAGAUUUAUUCAUCGAUUGCUUCCUUGAAUCUCUAGCCUCUGAAUCAGCUUUUCUCUUUUCUUUACUGAGAUCUUCAGCUUUACAGGCCCUCUCAACCAGUACUACAAAAUUCUUUCAAUACAAAUAGUGUUAUGUCUUCGUUCAAUCCAUCAACAAAUCUUUUACACUUGAUUUCUUCAGUAGACACAUAUUCCCGGGCAUAUUUGCUUCAGGAAGAGACAGAUGAAGAACAGAAGAAGGAGGAACCAAAUUGGUAAGAGUGGAGGAAGAAGGAAAAUGUCUUACAAAAAUAAAAUCGAUAAGACAUUUUCCCUAAAAACCCAUCUCAUUUACCUUGUUUUAGAAAAUGUUUUACCAAUGGAAUUUAUUUUCAAGCAAACAAACACCGAAAAACCAGAAAAACAUUCCUGGAAAAAAAACAGACCCUAAAAUGGGAAAGUCAUUACUUAAUUGAAUUGGUUAAAUGAGUAAGUUAUAUUAGGACUUGAUAACAUGUCUAAUAAAAAUUUAAAAUAGUAUAAGGACAUAAUUCACUUCUAAUAGCACAUACAAUCACCUUGAUAUAAAUAGUAUAUUUAAGGUUGAUAAAAUUGUCUUGAGCACCAUUAGGCAUAGAAGUAUAUUUAGCACAUGAAAUUUUUAUAUUUCCUCAUGCAUGGUUGACUCGAGAUGGGGACCUCAAAGUUGCAUCAAAGGUCAAGCCACCCUUUUGAAGGUACAUCUGUAGGUUGAUUACUUUAACUAGUAAAUGGUUAUGAUAUUUUAUUUAUGGCGUGUACAUAGGUUCAUUUUGUUGUUUUUAAGACCUUUUGCUACCAGUACAAGUUAAUUUAACCUUAUGCCAUGAUUCUAUAUGAGUUAUAAGUAGUUUGAGAAAACUUGAUUACUUGAUAUGCCUUAGAUGACCAUGCUAUGUAUUAGGUGAUAAGGAAGUGUUCUUUUUGAGGUAUUCGACUUUGGCUUUGGAUUCUUGGAAGCUUAGAAUGUAACACCCCUAACCCGUAUUCGUUGUUGGAUUAGAGUUAUGGAGUAUUACUGUACAAUCAAAAACAUUUAAACUUAACUUCAUUCAAUAACAUUAACAAUUCAUAAACUAAUCAUAUUCAUAUAUAUUGUCUCUAAAUCGAGCCCUCGAUGCCCUAAAAAUACCUUAGAAAUGAUUCGAGACCAGUUUAAAAUCAUUUGGAAAGUUUAGAAAAAAGUCACAAAAUUUUGGAAACAGGGGUCACACAGCUGUGUGCCUCACAUGGUUGAGAGACAUGCCCGUGCCUCAGGCCAUGUAACCUUCGAAAUAGGGACACACGACCAUGUCCUAGCCCAUGUCUCCACUCGUGUAACUCUCUGAGUAGGGUCACAUGGCCGUGUCACACGCCCGUGUGCCAGGCCAUGUAACUCACUGACUUGCAACCUAAGAAUUCAACAAAUGACUCACAAUCGUUUCGCUAGGCCGUGUGUCUCACAAGGCUGAGUCACACACUUGUGUCUCAGGCCAUGUGGACCUAAAUUUACCUAAAAUCAAGUCAUUUCCAAUACCAUUUCAUGCAUAAACAUUUAGAUCAUUUGUGCACACUUUCAAGGCACCAAAACCCUAUCGAAACAUACAUAUAAUUUCCAUUUUAGGAGUCCUAAUUCAACUAACCAAUAUGACAUUCAAAGGCACUACAAACAACAACUAAACAUCUCCUACUUAGACAUGUUUAUAUGCUUAAUUCCACGCAUACAAUUCUAGACCAUUUAAGUAUUAAAACAUACAUCAUUUAGCCACUCUCAAAACAUACAAAACAUACCAUGAAAGACCAUUAUCAAGCCAUCACAAACUUACCAAAAGAAUCAUAUAUACAUACACAUAUAAGUGACCAAAAUUACUAACCCAAGCAAGCAUUGUAAAUUCAUCAACAAUCCAUAAGCAUCCAAGCACAAGCAUAUCAAGUUACCAUUUUACAUAUUCAUCAAAAACAUCACAAUAACCCACCCUAUACAUGCCAUUAUAAACCUUAGCCAAAAUAUACAGAAACUAUUGAAUUGACUUCUGGAUAGCGUGAUAGAUCUCCGACGAGCUUCCAACCAAAUCAAACUUUCGAUAAUUUAUAAAACAUAGAAAAGAAACUACGUAAGCAAUUAAUGCUUAGUAAGCUCAUAUGAAAUAAAAACAUAACUUACCAUUUCAUUUGCAUAUAUAAAACAUAAACAUAAUAUAAUCCAAACUAUAAGCUUGGCAUAAGCCUAUACAUCACCAUCAAUAUGCAAGUUAGCACACUUGCACAUAAAUUAAAUAAGCCAUUCAUAAUAUAAUUUAUUUACCAAAUGAAAUACAUCAAUUAGUUCAUGCAUUCUUUCCAUAAUAAUAUGCUUAAUUCCAUUUGAACACUUACCUUUUCAAUCCCUUUUCUUGCCCGUUGAACCAUUUAGAAUUUCAUUGGAUACUCGGGAAAGCUCACACAAAGUGUGCCUUUACAUAUAACUGUAACCUUUCCUUUACAUCAUUGCUCACACAAGCUGUUAAAUAUAGGAUUGAUUUUUUUAUACAUUGAUCAAUUCACAUUAUAGCUUAUAAUGUUAAUGUUAUUUGUAUCCUACGAAUUCCUAAGGUUCAACCAAGACUCGAUAAUCAUCAUAGCAUUGAUUUUUUUAUACAUUGAUCAAUUCACAUUAUAAUUAACAUAAUAACAUAUAUUUUAAAUAUCAUUAAGACAAUAACUGUUCAUACGAACUUACCUCGAUGAUUAGGACUGUAGAAAUUAGGUCGAAUUAAUCUAAAGCUUUUGCCUUUCCUCGAUUUAGCUCCGGUUGUGGUUUAUCUUGAUCUAAAUAGAUAAUUAUAUUCAAUUAAGUACUUCAAUUAACCUCAAACAUUAAAUUCAAUCCAUAACUCUCAUUUAUGCAAAAUUACUAAUUUACCCCUAACAUUUUAACUUUUUCACAAUUUAAUCCUUAAGUUUAUAACUUAGAAUCUAACCUUUUUAAUCUAGUUCCAUGUUAAUCAAACAUGCAAGGGACCUUGAAACAACUCAUAUUUACCAUCAUUUCAUAAUAAAACCCUAAAUUUUAAUUUUAUACUUCUAACAAUUAGUCCCUAAUUCCAAAAUUCAUAGAAAAUCAUUUAACAAAACUUGUUUAUUUUUCAACCAACGUUCAUAAUAUAUCAUUUAACAUCAAAAACCAUUCAAGAACAUUCAUGGCAUAGCCCUUAACCUUUAACAAUUUAACAAAUUGACCUCCGGGCUAGCUAGAUUAAGCUACAAUGAACUCAAAAACAUAUCAUUAAAAACGGGUUUAAAAACCUACCAUGCAUGAAGAAAUUUCAUAGUAGAAAACUCCCCUUCUUUUAACAAUGGAUAUUUGGUUCUUUUAGGGUUAGUAAAUAAUGAAGAUAAUAAUUUUUAAUUCAUCUUAUUUUAACACAUUUUACUUGUUUUAUCUAAUUACCAAUUUAACCUUUUUAUUUCAUUAAAACUACCACAAAACCUUUCCAAUAACAUCCACUAGUACCUUAAAUGGUAUAUUUAUCCCUCAAGUCCUUUAUCUUAAAGUUUCAUAACCAUUUGACCUUUUUUACUAAUAAAACUCAACUUUUUCACCUUUUACGAUUUAGUUAUAAAAACAUGCUAAUUUUCUAAUUGGCUAAGAUGACUUUAUGCACCUUUUUCUUCAUUAGUAACACAUUUAAAAUAAUUCACUAACACCAAGUCAUAUUCAUCAGUUGUUUCAUGAUAACCAAAUUUCACAACACAUUAUUAAUUAAUAAGGCACAUGUAGCUAAGUUUCACCAAGCAACAAUAUCACUAACCACUUAUUGUCAACAUUUUUUACCAUGGAAUUUACACACCUUCAUUACUUAGUCAAACUCACAUCCAUUACACAAUCUCAUCAUUUUCCUAAAUAUCAACAUGUGAGCUUCCAAAGUUGUCUCAUACAAUAAAUCUAAAAUACCAAGUGAGUAGAAGUAGGAAACACCAUUUCUUACAUUAUUGAAGCUUUCUCUCUCUAGAUUCAACUUUCUCCCUUAAGAACUAUCAAAACUCUUGCUAAAAAAUAAAGAUUUGAAGGUGGAUUCAAGCUUAUGAAAGAGUUUUCUAGUUGAUUUUGGUGAGAAAUCAAUGUGGGUGAUGAGAUUUUUAGUACGAUUGAAGAAAUAGAGUAGAAUAAUGAAGAGAGAAAAGCUCUCACUUUUCCACGGG
RNAcentral lists this long non-coding RNA (13710 nucleotides) under Gossypium barbadense (sea-island cotton). RNAcentral's name for it is "long non-coding RNA (GBAR_LNC009291)". Lineage: Eukaryota; Viridiplantae; Streptophyta; Magnoliopsida; Malvales; Malvaceae. The record is from RNAcentral.